This is a long non-coding RNA of Heterocephalus glaber (naked mole-rat), 641 nucleotides long. NCBI's taxonomy places the organism in Eukaryota, Metazoa, Chordata, Mammalia, Rodentia, Bathyergidae. The record is from Ensembl.
CUGAGGCACAGAGGUUACAUAAUUUGAUCGACAUUACUCAACUAGUGAAUGGCAAGUCCAGUUUGAAUGGCAAUCUAGAUUGAGAGACACUGCUUAUCACCCCUGUUUUGCUUUUUGGUUCAGCACACACAGACUAGCCAAACCAAGCUUGUGGAAGAUUCUUUCCCCGCCUCUUUGAUAGCUGCAGGACUGAUUCCGUAUGCUUCAAGCCAGAGGCAUUGAAUCAUCUUGGGGCAUCACAAAAAGGAGGGUGAUUUCAGCAAAGCAAAAGACCUUGGCUCUCAGAGAUGGGAAGAAAGACAAAAAAUGCAAAUCUCUAGCCUUUCUUUUUUUUGUUUUUUGAAUUUAAAAAAAAAUCUUAUUUUGUUUUCCUUCAUUUUAAGUCCAGUUUACUCAGAGUGAUGGUCACCUCACCGGAGAUAAGUACUGCAAGGUUCACAAAGGAAUUCAAUUUGAACAAUGGUACAGGCUGUGGCAGUAAAUCCCCCAGGAUCUCUCUGAAAGACCCUUGCAGGAAAAUUCAAUAUUUCCAAGAUGUCAUCGCUUCACAACUUAAUCUAUAUAUUCAAUGCAAUUCCAAUCAAAAAGCCAGACAGGUAUUUUGCAAAUGAUAGGAAUCUGAUUCUAAGGCUUAUAUGAAG